CGUAGGAAGCACCAAGUGUCGAAGACACAUUUAGAAUGGUGCUGACGAAAUGCCGCCGAAUGAAUAUGAGGGGGCGAUACCAAAC
Molecule: small RNA, 85 nt
Organism: Coprococcus sp. CAG:782
Lineage: Bacteria; Bacillati; Bacillota; Clostridia; Lachnospirales; Lachnospiraceae
Rfam family: GA-cis RNA
Source: Rfam